UGUGGGUGGAGCAGCGUGGUAGCUCGCGAGGCUCAUAACCUUGAAGUCAUAGGUUCAAAUCCCGUCUCUGCAA
RNAcentral lists this transfer RNA (73 nucleotides) under Ricinus communis (castor bean). The stretch from base 4 to 68 matches the Rfam family "tRNA", at positions 5 to 66 of the family's 71-position model. From Rfam's summary of the family: Transfer RNA (tRNA) molecules are approximately 80 nucleotides in length. Their secondary structure includes four short double-helical elements and three loops (D, anti-codon, and T loops). Lineage: Eukaryota; Viridiplantae; Streptophyta; Magnoliopsida; Malpighiales; Euphorbiaceae. The record is from Rfam by way of RNAcentral.